This is a non-coding RNA of Ciona savignyi (Pacific transparent sea squirt), 79 nucleotides long. The record is from Rfam. NCBI's taxonomy places the organism in Eukaryota, Metazoa, Chordata, Ascidiacea, Phlebobranchia, Cionidae.
CCAAGUUCGAUCGUGUUUAUUGUGGACCUUGCCGUGUGACGUCACAGUAAGGCACGCGGUGAAUGCCAACGAACUCGCG